AUGCUCAAAAUAGAUUUGGCUAAAGCUUUCGACUGGUUAGAAUGGGACUUCAUCACCUCGGCUUUGCAACGUAAAGGGUUGCAUGGCCAUUUCAUAAAGCUUAUCCAUGCCUGUAUCUCCUCGCCGACUUUUUCUGUUAACAUAAAUGGACAAUCUUUUCUACACUUUAAAAGUAGUCGAGGUAUCAGGCAGGUGUGUCCACUCUCUCCUUUAUUGUUUGUGCUUGCAGUGAAUGCCCUCCUAUCCACCCUUUAA
RNAcentral lists this ribosomal RNA (255 nucleotides) under Triticum aestivum (bread wheat). Its description in RNAcentral is "partial small subunit ribosomal RNA". The record is from RNAcentral. Lineage: Eukaryota; Viridiplantae; Streptophyta; Magnoliopsida; Poales; Poaceae.